Molecule: transfer RNA, 68 nt
Filed under: Thyrsitoides marleyi (blacksail snake mackerel)
Lineage: Eukaryota; Metazoa; Chordata; Actinopteri; Scombriformes; Gempylidae
Description: tRNA-Tyr
Rfam family: tRNA
About the family: Transfer RNA (tRNA) molecules are approximately 80 nucleotides in length. Their secondary structure includes four short double-helical elements and three loops (D, anti-codon, and T loops).
Source: RNAcentral
GGUAAGAUGGCUGAGCAUAGCGGCGGAUUGUAGCUCCGCAUAGAGAGGUUAAAGCCCUCUUCUUAUCA